ACGAACGCUGGCGGCGUGCUUAACACAUGCAAGUCGAACGGAAAGGCCCUGCUUUUGUGGGGUGCUCGAGUGGCGAACGGGUGAGUAACACGUGAGUAACCUGCCCUUGACUUUGGGAUAACUUCCGGAAACUGGGGCUAAUACCGGAUAGGAGCUCCUGCUGCAUGGGGGGGGUUGGAAAGUUUCGGCGGUUGGGGAUGGACUCGCGGCUUAUCAGCUUGUUGGUGGGGUAGUGGCUUACCAAGGCUUUGACGGGUAGCCGGCCUGAGAGGGUGACCGGCCACAUUGGGACUGAGAUACGGCCCAGACUCCUACGGGAGGCAGCAGUGGGGAAUAUUGCACAAUGGGCGGAAGCCUGAUGCAGCAACGCCGCGUGCGGGAUGACGGCCUUCGGGUUGUAAACCGCUUUCGCCUGUGACGAAGCGUGAGUGACGGUAAUGGGUAAAGAAGCACCGGCUAACUACGUG
This 467-nucleotide ribosomal RNA is filed under the name uncultured bacterium. RNAcentral's name for it is "partial 16S ribosomal RNA". It matches the Rfam family "Bacterial small subunit ribosomal RNA", at positions 29 to 507 of the family's 1533-position model. The record is from RNAcentral.